CAGUCGCCGCGGUAACACGUAGGUGGCAAGCGUUGUCCGGAAUUAUUGGGCGUAAAGCGCGCGCAGGCGGAUCAGUUAGUCUGUCUUAAAAGUUCGGGGCUUAACCCCGUGAUGGGAUGGAAACUGCUGAUCUAGAGUAUCGGAGAGGAAAGUGGAAUUCCUAGUGUAGCGGUGAAAUGCGUAGAUAUUAGGAAGAACACCAGUGGCGAAGGCGACUCUCUGGACGAAGACUGACGCUGAGGCGCGAAAGCCAGGGGAGCGAACGGGAUUAGAUACCCCUGUAGUCCCUGUCUCUUAUACA
This 301-nucleotide ribosomal RNA is filed under the name uncultured bacterium. RNAcentral's name for it is "partial 16S ribosomal RNA". It matches the Rfam family "Bacterial small subunit ribosomal RNA", at positions 509 to 809 of the family's 1533-position model. The record is from RNAcentral.